AGACACGGCCCAGACUCCUACGGGAGGCAGCAGUAGGGAAUCUUCCGCAAUGGACGCAAGUCUGACGGAGCAACGCCGCGUGAGUGAUGAAGGUUUUCGGAUCGUAAAGCUCUGUUGCCCUAGACGAACAGCAAGGAGAGUAACUGCUCUUUGUGUGACGGUAUAGGAGAAGAAAGCCCCGGCUAACUACGUGCCAGCAGCCGCGGUAAUACGUAGGGGGCAAGCGUUGUCCGGAAUUAUUGGGCGUAAAGCGCGCGCAGGCGGUCAAUUAAGUUGGGUGUUUAAGCCCGGGGCUCAACCCCGGUUCGCAUCCAAAACUGGUUGACUUGAGUGUAGGAGAGGAAAGUGGAAUUCCACGUGUAGCGGUGAAAUGCGUAGAGAUGUGGAGGAACACCAGUGGCGAAGGCGACUUUCUGGCCUAUAACUGACGCUGAGGCGCGAAAGCGUGGGGAGCAAACAGGAUUAGAUACCCUGGUAGUCCACGCCGUAAACGAUGUCUACUAGUUGUCGGGUCUUUAUUGACUUGGUAACGCAGCUAACGCGUGAAGUAGACCGCCUGGGGAGUACGGUCGCAAGAUUAAAACUCAANAGGAAUUGAC
RNAcentral lists this ribosomal RNA (599 nucleotides) under bacterium enrichment culture clone F61x_D63_T3_G08. Its description in RNAcentral is "bacterial SSU rRNA". It matches the Rfam family "Bacterial small subunit ribosomal RNA", at positions 322 to 914 of the family's 1533-position model. The record is from RNAcentral.